This is a non-coding RNA of Homo sapiens (human), 148 nucleotides long. It matches the Rfam family "Metazoan signal recognition particle RNA". Rfam says of the family: The signal recognition particle (SRP) is a universally conserved ribonucleoprotein. It is involved in the co-translational targeting of proteins to membranes. The eukaryotic SRP consists of a 300-nucleotide 7S RNA and six proteins: SRPs 72, 68, 54, 19, 14, and 9. The record is from Rfam. Lineage: Eukaryota; Metazoa; Chordata; Mammalia; Primates; Hominidae.
GCCAGGCAUGGUGGCGUGCACCUGUAAUCCCAGCUACUUGGGAGGCUGAGGCAGGAGAAUCGCUUGAACCCAGGAGGCGGAGGUUGCAGUGAGCCGAGAUCGUGCCACUGCACUCCAGCCUGGGUGACAGAGCGAGACUCUGUCUCAA